GAGGGUAUAGCUCAGUGGUAGAGUGCAUGCUUAGCAUGCAUGAGGUCCUGGGUUCAAUCCCCAGUACCCCCA
Molecule: transfer RNA, 72 nt
Filed under: Camelus dromedarius (Arabian camel)
Lineage: Eukaryota; Metazoa; Chordata; Mammalia; Artiodactyla; Camelidae
Also listed under: 2 other names
Rfam family: tRNA
About the family: Transfer RNA (tRNA) molecules are approximately 80 nucleotides in length. Their secondary structure includes four short double-helical elements and three loops (D, anti-codon, and T loops).
Source: Rfam by way of RNAcentral